Molecule: transfer RNA, 81 nt
Filed under: Bacteroidota bacterium
Lineage: Bacteria; Pseudomonadati; Bacteroidota
Description: tRNA-Leu
Rfam family: tRNA
About the family: Transfer RNA (tRNA) molecules are approximately 80 nucleotides in length. Their secondary structure includes four short double-helical elements and three loops (D, anti-codon, and T loops).
Source: RNAcentral
GCCCACGUGGCGAAACUGGUAAACGUUGCGGUCUCAGAAGCCGUUGUCAUUGACUUAGGAGUUCGAGUCUCCUCGUGGGCA